This 30-nucleotide non-coding RNA is filed under the name Rattus norvegicus (Norway rat). The record is from RNAcentral. Lineage: Eukaryota; Metazoa; Chordata; Mammalia; Rodentia; Muridae.
UAACCAGCAAAUCUCAUGACGAUCUCGGUA